RNAcentral lists this ribosomal RNA (494 nucleotides) under uncultured bacterium. RNAcentral's name for it is "partial 16S ribosomal RNA". It matches the Rfam family "Bacterial small subunit ribosomal RNA", at positions 28 to 507 of the family's 1533-position model. The record is from RNAcentral.
GACGAACGCUGGCGGCGUGCCUAAUACAUGCAAGUAGAACGCUGAAGGAGGAGCUUGCUUCUCCGGAUGAGUUGCGAACGGGUGAGUAACGCGUAGGUAACCUGCCUGGUAGCGGGGGAUAACUAUUGGAAACGAUAGCUAAUACCGCAUAACAGUAGAUAUUGCAUGAUAUCUGCUUGAAAGGUGCAAUUGCAUCACUACCAGAUGGACCUGCGUUGUAUUAGCUAGUUGGUGAGGUAACGGCUCACCAAGGCGACGAUACAUAGCCGACCUGAGAGGGUGAUCGGCCACACUGGGACUGAGACACGGCCAGACUCCUACGGGAGGCAGCAGUAGGGAAUCUUCGGCAAUGGACGGAAGUCUGACCGAGCAACGCCGCGUGAGUGAAGAAGGUUUUCGGAUCGUAAAGCUCUGUUGUAAGAGAAGAACGAGUGUGAGAGUGGAAAGUUCACACUGUGACGGUAUCUUACCAGAAAGGGACGGCUAACUACGUG